AAAGUGCGGAGCCGCAGGGAAGCCGAGUCUUAAACGGGCGAGGAGUCGCAUGGAGCAGACCCGAAACCGGGUGACCUACCCAUGCCCAGGCUGAAGCUGCUGUAAAAGGCGGUGGAGGGCCGUACGCACAUCCGUUGAAAAGGGUGGCGAUGAGGUGUGGGUAGCGGAGAAAUUCCAAUCGAACCCGGAGAUAGCUGGUUCUCCCCGAAAUAGUUUUAGGACUAGCCUGCCUGAAAAGUCUGGCGGAGGUAGAGCACUGAAUUCCUGCGGGGGCGUCAAAGCCUACCAAGGGAUAUCAAACUCCGAAUGCCGCGCAGACGUUAGGGCGGAGUCAGGCUGCACGAGAUAAGUUGGGCAGCCGAGAGGGAAAGAGCCCAGACCGCCGGCUAAGGCCCCGAAGUGCGUGUUAAGUGGGAAAGGAUGUGGGGAUUCGAAGACAGCUAGGAUGUUGGCUCAGAAGCAGCCAUGCAUUAAAAGAGUGCGUAACAGCUCACUAGCCGAGAGUCCCUGCGCCGAAAAUGUCCGGGGCUGAAACACGCCGCCGAAGCCGCGGAGGAGCCUGCGAUGCAGGCUGCUGGUAGGGGAGCAUCCGCGUCUGGACGAAGCUGUACCGUAAGGAGCAGUGGACGGGCGCGGAGGGAGAAUGCCGGAAUGAGUAGCGAGAGAUAGGUGGGAAUCCUAUCGGCCGGAUGUCCAAGGUUUCCAGGGUAAAGCUGAUCUGCCCUGGGUAAGUCGGGGCCUAAGGCGAGGCCGGGAGGCGUAGCCGAUGGAUGACAGGUUGAGAUUCCUGUACCCCGCGGCAUCAGAAAUGUGGGGACACAGGCACAAGGCAGGGGCCGGGGAUGGAAGUACCGGUGCAAGCGCAGGAGCCGGGCGGGAGGCAAACCCCCCGCCGGGAGGCAGAGGCGUGAAGCGGAGCGAAGAUAAGAGUAGCGAAGCCUGCGGAGUGGCUGUCUGGAAAAGCCGCUAUAGUGUGCCGCGGGCCCGUACCGCAAACCGACACAGGUGGACAGGGAGAGGAUCCCAAGGCCGACGGAAGAAGCAUUGUCAAGGAAUUCGGCAAAAUGGCCCCGUAACUUCGGGAGAAGGGGCGCCCGGGAAACCGGGCCGCAGAGGACUGGCCCAAGCAACUGUUUAGCAAAAACACAGGUUUAUGCGAAACCGCAAGGUGAAGUAUAUGAGCUGACGCCUGCCCGGUGCCGGAAGGUUAAGGGGAGCGCUCAGGGGGAACCCGAAGGCGUGAACUUAAGCCCCGGUAAACGGCGGCCGUAACUAUAACGGUCCUAAGGUAGCGAAAUUCCUUGUCGGGUAAGUUCCGACCCGCACGAAAGGCGUAAUGAUUUGGGCGCUGUCUCGACAAUGCAUCCGGUGAAAUUGAAAUACCAGUGAAGAUGCUGGUUACCCGCGCCAGGACGGAAAGACCCCAUGGAGCUUUACUCCAGCCUGGUGCUGGGGUCCGGUGCUGCAUGUACAGGAUAGGCGGGAGGCUGUGAAGCCGCAGCGCAAGCUGCGGCAGAGCCGCUGUUGGGAUACCGCCCCUGCAGUACUGGGCUUCUAACCUCCGCCCGUGAUCCGGGCGGGGGACACCGCCAGGCGGGGAGUUUGACUGGGGCGGUCGCCUCCGAAAGGGUAUCGGAGGCGCUCAAAGGUCCCUUCAGGAUGGACGGAAACCAUCCGGAGAGCGCAAAGGCAGAAGGGGGCUUGACUGCGAGGCUGACGGGCCGGGCAGGUACGAAAGUAGGACUUAGUGAUCCGGUGGCAUGAAAGUGGGAUUGCCAUCGCUCAACGGAUAAAAGCUACCCUGGGGAUAACAGGCUUAUCACUCCCAAGAGUUCACAUCGACGGAGUGGUUUGGCACCUCGAUGUCGGCUCAUCGCAUCCUGGGGCUGCAGCAGGUCCCAAGGGUUGGGCUGUUCGCCCAUUAAAGCGGUACGCGAGCUGGGUUCAGAACGUCGUGAGACAGUUCGGUCCCUAUCCGGCGCGGGCGCAGGAUAUCUGAGAGGAUCUGGCCUUAGUACGAGAGGACCGGGCUGGACGGGCCGCUGGUGCACC
RNAcentral lists this ribosomal RNA (2052 nucleotides) under bacterium D16-36. RNAcentral describes it as "bacterial LSU rRNA". It matches the Rfam family "Bacterial large subunit ribosomal RNA", at positions 655 to 2718 of the family's 2925-position model. The record is from RNAcentral.